GUUUUAAUAAUUUAAAUAAAAUAUUGAUUUUGUAAAUCAAAAAUAAGACAUAACCUUUUAAAACU
RNAcentral lists this transfer RNA (65 nucleotides) under Staphylinoidea sp. 4 KM-2017. RNAcentral's name for it is "tRNA-Thr". The record is from RNAcentral. Lineage: Eukaryota; Metazoa; Arthropoda; Insecta; Coleoptera.